RNAcentral lists this long non-coding RNA (3416 nucleotides) under Vigna radiata. Its description in RNAcentral is "long non-coding RNA (VRAD_LNC002213)". The record is from RNAcentral. Lineage: Eukaryota; Viridiplantae; Streptophyta; Magnoliopsida; Fabales; Fabaceae.
CACACCAAUUUCUACCAUAACGUUUUAUUGAAAGAAAUUCAAAUAUCAGCAUCUCACACACUCUACUCUUACACGUAAGUAAAGAAAAAGAUAAAAAAAUACAUAUAAUGGUGUUAACACACCUUUUUAUUUCUUUCAAUCAUAAGCAACAUAGUGGUAGAAUAUUGUAACAUAACCGUGAAGCAUAGUAUCACAUGUAACCAUCUUUAAGUGACUUGAUGAUUUGAGUCCUGAACAAUCCAUGUAAAAUUCGUUAGUCUUUUUAUUCUCUCUUAAAUUUCUUAUGAUAAAUUAUAUCAUCCACAAGUAUUUCUAUAAAUAGAAAGGUAGAAAAAUAAAGUAAAUAAAUAAAGAAGAAUAUAUAUAUAUAUAUAUAUAUAUAUAUAUAUAUAUAUAUAUAUAUAUAUAUAUCUUUAAACUUUAGGCAUGUAAUUAUUGUAAUAAAUAAAUAAAAAAUCUAAAUCAAUAGUAAAUCGAAUGAAUUCUACUAAUUUAAUUUCAUAAUAAAUAACUUCAGUGAACAUAAUAACAAAAUUAUAAAAGAUAAUACUUAAGUUAUACCUCGAAAUGCAAAUUAUUUGGCAUAUUCUUCUAUUAGUGGUGGAGAAGUGGGUGGCUUCGACUCCUAUAUUAAAAAUGGUUAGCAAUUUUCUUUUUAAUAUAUAUUGAUAUUUGAGUUAUUAUUCACAUACAUUUUUCUCUUCAGAAGUUGAUAGAUUCUUCUCUGCUUGUGUUGAUGACGAGGUUGAAAUAUUAUCAUUUUCUUUCCUAUAAAAGAAAACUUAAUAAUUUCUUAUAAUAACUAAUAUUUGAAUUAUUAACAACUUACUCAUUCACUUUGACAUUGAAAGUACUUGAAUCUUCCUUCGGACUUUGAGUUGGUGGUAGAAGAUUGAGUGAUUUCGAAUCCUAUUAAAAAGAAUUAGUAAUUUGCUUUUAUAUAUAAUUUAUAUUUGAGUUAUUAGAAACCUACUUUUAGAUCAUCUAUUUCCCAUGGUGAAACAUUUGUAUCAGGUGGUGAUGGAGGGGGAGGAGGAUGAGGAUCAGGAUGAGGAUCGCUUCCACUCCUAUUAAAAAAAAGAGUUAAAUAUGUUUUUAGUUCCUAUAUUUUGGGAUGAUUUUAGUUUUAGUCUAUUUUUAAACUAUGAUACAAUUUAGUCCUUCAACUUUGGAAAACUCUGGUUUUAGUCUUUUUUACCAAUUUUUUUUAAUUUUAUUUAUUGUUUUAAACACGUUUCUUAGUUAAAAAAAUUGGUAAAAACAAUUGGUAAAAAAGACUAAAAAAAAUAAAAGGUCAAAUUUUUACAUAAGCUCUUUUUCAAUCAACUAACUAAUUAUCUUAUUAAUUUUUUCCAAUAAAUUUAAAAAGUUAUCUAUUCAAUAAAUAUAUAUAUAUAUAUAUAUAUAUAUAUAUAUAUAUAUAUAUAUAUAUAUAUAUAUAUAUGUAUGUAUAUAUAUAAACUCAAUCAUCGAUCAAAUUUAAAGUCUAGAUAUUUUUAUAGUAGAUACUUGUAAGCUAAUAUAUGAAGUUAUUGUUUUGAGAAAUUACUUUAUUCAAUUCAAAAAAUAUUUAUGCAAUACAUUAAAAAGAACAAAAAAAUGUUUAAAUAAAUAAUAUCAAAAAUACCUAAUAACAUAAAUAUAAUAAAUGUUUUAGAUAUUAGUAAUGACAUACAUACAUUUGUAUUUUUAUACUGGAAUUUCGUAUUAAUGCAGUGUUGAUGAGGUGGCCCUCUGUGAAGAUCACUUCGAAUCCUUCGCACAAAAAGAAAAAUAGGACAAUAAUAUGUCAUUAUAUGACAAGAUAAAAUAUGCAUUACCAAUAAAAAGUAACAUACAUGAUUGAAAUAUUAAUUAAAAUCAUUUUAUUUAAUUUAUUGAAAAUAUUAACCAUAAAUAAAAUCACCUUAUACAUACAUGAUUGUUUGCUUGAAAUUUAACUGCGAGUUUAGUUUCAUAAUAUAAUAAAAAUAAGAAAAUUGAAUAUAAAAUAAUGAACAAAAUUUUUUAAAAAUAUAAUCUCUUAUCAACUUACGUUUUAGUGAUGUUAUAUUAUAUUUAUUUAGUUAUGUUUGUAUGAAACUAAAACUUAUAAUUGGGAUUCUCCACAAUGAUAAACUAAUAUAUAUAUAUAUAUAUAUAUAUUAGAUAUACGUGGGUUAUGCACUCACAACGCUUCUAUUGCGACUAAUAUUAUGUUAGAAGUGAAUUUUAAGUUUAAUUAACUCAUAUUAAUUAGAGAUAGAAGAAUUUAGUAUAUAUAAAUAGAUACAAAUCUUAUUUUACAAAUCGGUUUUAUAGAAGUUAAAUUAAAGUUGAAGUUUACUUCUAACCAUAUAUAUGACUGAAAUUUAAAAUUAGAAUACAAACAGUAGAAACGAAACUCUACUAAGCAAUAUCUAGCACUAAUAUUGAGCAUCUCAGAACCAAUGCUCAGUAUACGCUCAAACCUAGGAUUCUAAGAGUAUGAAAGAAGAUGAAAGCAAAUAAAAGCACGACAAUCAGACAUAAAAAAAAAAUAUCAUUGCAUCAAUGGAUUUAGAAAAUAUAUUAUAAAAUCUCAUCUCAUACUUAUUAUUAUAAUGGGUACAUUUAGAAUGAUCAUAGUAUAUUUUGUAUUUAUUGUAAAAAUUUUAUCACUGACAGAUGGAUUAAAACUGAUAUAUAAAUCAUCAUAAAAUUAUAGGUUUUCACUAGUGAUUUGUAUAGUAUAGAUUGUGGUCGAGUUUAAAUUAUAACUUUUUUUUUUUUUAUAAAUAUAUGUAUUUGAUUUUAAUUUUUUUUUUUAACGAGAGAGUUUACGUUAUACAAUGAUAAAUAAUUUCACCUUUUAUUUCAUUAUUAAUUAAUAUUUGUUUAUUUCAACAUUUUCAAUAUUAUAUAAUAUUAAAUAAUUUAUUUACAUAGUACAAACAUCAUUUUUUAUACAUAAUGAAACUAGAAUAAAAUACAAAAGUCCCAUCUACUAGAAUAAAAGACAAAUAAAGAACCCAAGUAAUUAUUUUGUUUUAACAUUAUUUUUCCUCACAACUAAUAAUGUAAAUUCCAUAUUAUCAAGAGGCAUGAACUAAUACAAACAUGUUAAUUAGGUUUUCUUCUCAAAUGUAAAAGGAAAAACUUCUUUUAACAACACUUUUUUAACAACUUUUUGACAACGCAUACGUAGCAGUUUGUGAUUCUGUUUUAAAUAUUUUUUAAACAUAAAUUCAAAUAGACCAAUAAAAUGAUGACACGUGUUCCGUUGUCAAAAAAAUUGUCAAAAAAUGUUAUCAAAAUAUCAUUGUCCAAUGUAAAAACAUAUCAGCACUGAUUCAAGAAUAUUACCUUAUGAAAGAAUUGGGAAAAUGAUGAAUGGAACACACUCUAGAAAAGCCAAAUUUAGAAAAAAAGUUCUAAAAUCUUUCUGAGUUUGAUUG